GACGAACCGUCCAAACGUUGUUCGGAAUCACUGGGCUUAAAGGGCGCGUAGGCGGGCUGCCAAGUCAGGGGUGAAAUCUUUCGGCCCAACCGGAAAAGUGCUUUUGAUACUGGCAGUCUCGAGUGAGGUAGGGGCGCGUGGAACUGGUGGUGGAGCGGUGAAAUGCGUAGAUAUCACUAGGAACGCCGGUGGCGAAAGCGACGCGCUGGACCUUUUCUGACGCUGAGGCGCGAAAGCCAGGGGAGCAAACGGG
RNAcentral lists this ribosomal RNA (253 nucleotides) under uncultured bacterium. Its description in RNAcentral is "partial 16S ribosomal RNA". It matches the Rfam family "Bacterial small subunit ribosomal RNA", at positions 524 to 776 of the family's 1533-position model. The record is from RNAcentral.